Non-coding RNA from Mus caroli (Ryukyu mouse), 781 nucleotides. Lineage: Eukaryota; Metazoa; Chordata; Mammalia; Rodentia; Muridae. The record is from RefSeq and is a predicted model, not a curated record.
CUGGGAAAAUGGAACCAAUAUGAUUGGGACUUGGUCUGUGGAGGAGAGCUGGUGGGAGCACCACCUUGUGGCAGUCCAAUAAGAGAGCCUGGGGUUCAGGUUUGGAACUAGCGGGCUUGAAGUAGCUCUCCAGGGGCCUCAGGUCUUAGCUCCAGCCACAAUCCCAGUUUUCUGCUGUUGGUAAGAGCAGCCCUACAAGUGGUCUGAGAGCUUGUGUGCUUUGCAUGUCACUGACUGGAGGGUGGACCAGGUGUUCUCUGGAAACAUGAAAAAAAGACAGAGCUGUGCCUUCAAGGAGCUGCUGCUUAGGGAGCCAAAGCUUGGCAGGGGCCAAGAGGAGACUGAUGGCAGUUACCGGAUGACUUCAUGUAUCCCGAGAGGCAGUUGCAAGGACAGUCAAGUCCCCCAGGUGGGUCCCAGGAUCUAGAAUCACAUAGAAUACAAGGAUCUGGGCACAUCUAUGAAGACAUUUUUGGAUUGGGCUAAGAUAGGAACUCAUCCUGAAUGUGGUGGCACCAUUCCCUAGGCUGGAGUGUUGGACCGAAUCAAAAGGGGAAAGUAAGCUGUGUCCAGCAUUCAUCUUUACUAUUUCCUAACUGCAGGUGCAGAGCUCCUUCCAGCUCCUGUUACCAAGCCUUAUCUACAGUGGUGGAUGGACUCAAGUUAUGAACUCAAAUAAUCCCUUCCUUCUGUGAGUUGCUUUUGUUGGGUAUUACAGCAAUAAGAGAAGUAAUUUGUAUGAAAACUAGUUCACUUUUCUCGAUAAAAGAAAUUCCCAAAC